AGAUGUCAUGGACGAGGAAUUCAUGGAAGAAAUGUACCCCGAUAUGGAGAACAGAAUCACCAGUAGAAGAGGAAUUUUCCAUAGCAGAUCACAGUACGAUGCCCCCUCCUCUUCUGCAUCAUCAUCUUCUUCUUCUACGUUCACACUGUCGGGGGUUUCCAACUCUGAUUCCUCUCUCUGUUUCAGAGGAGUAGGAGGAGGAUCCGAAGGCGUCGCCUCGUUUCUUUCACCCUCGAUCUCUGCCAGCAGACUCGAAUCGACGCUGGAACUGCCUGCCGCUCCAUCCAACUCCCUC
Molecule: long non-coding RNA, 295 nt
Filed under: Spirodela polyrhiza (greater duckweed)
Lineage: Eukaryota; Viridiplantae; Streptophyta; Magnoliopsida; Alismatales; Araceae
Description: long non-coding RNA (SPOL_LNC002575)
Source: RNAcentral